UACCAGCACCCCGAGUGGUCGGGACGAUUAUUGGGCCUAAAGCAUCCGUAGCCGGUCCUACAAGUCUUCCGUUAAAUCCACCUGCUUAACAGAUGGGCUGCGGAAGAUACUAUAGGGCUAGGAGGCGGGAGAGGCAAGCGGUACUCAGUGGGUAGGGGUAAAAUCCUCUGAUCCAUUGAAGACCACCAGUGGCGAAGGCGGCUUGCCAGAACGCGAUCGACGGUGAGGGAUGAAAGCUGGGGGAGCAAACCGG
RNAcentral lists this ribosomal RNA (253 nucleotides) under uncultured bacterium. Its description in RNAcentral is "partial 16S ribosomal RNA". It matches the Rfam family "Archaeal small subunit ribosomal RNA", at positions 474 to 727 of the family's 1478-position model. The record is from RNAcentral.